Long non-coding RNA from Phacochoerus africanus (Common warthog), 245 nucleotides. RefSeq lists it as uncharacterized. Lineage: Eukaryota; Metazoa; Chordata; Mammalia; Artiodactyla; Suidae. The record is from RefSeq and is a predicted model, not a curated record. The transcript has 2 exons.
AGAUCACCGUUCAGGUCACUUCCUCGGAAAUGACUUUCCCAGACAUCGAUCUAAAGGAGGUCUUUGCAGAUCCGCUGGUUCCUGAGUGAUUAUACACAGUGCUGGCUGUCAGGAGACAGUCUCCUUGUUUAUUAACAAUGACCAGCUUAGAUGACAGAUGGCAUCUGCUGGAUGGCAAGUGGGAGAUGGGGAAAUCGGAUCUUGGAAGACAAGAAAAAAAUAAAAAGUUUUUGCUUUAACAACCA